Long non-coding RNA from Ornithodoros turicata, 221 nucleotides. RefSeq lists it as uncharacterized. NCBI's taxonomy places the organism in Eukaryota, Metazoa, Arthropoda, Arachnida, Ixodida, Argasidae. The transcript has 3 exons. The record is from RefSeq and is a predicted model, not a curated record.
CGGCUACCAGGUUAUGGGCGAUUCCAUGAUGUUGCGACUGGCAAGUCGCGUGCUGUGUCGUGACAGGAGGCACUUGGAGUCACCUGUCCUGAGGUCUGGCGCUACAACCGCAAUGCUACUUGAGGGAAUCCAGAACUUCGGACGUCUUGAAUCCAGGGUUCUUCUGAUGAUUGGGACGAACGACCUGAAGCAGCUCAAGACUGCGGAUGAAGUGAUCCAGG